GUGGGGAAUAUUGGACAAUGGGCGCAAGCCUGAUCCAGCCAUGCCGCGUGAGUGAUGAAGGCCUUAGGGUUGUAAAGCUCUUUUGUCCGGGAAGAUAAUGACUGUACCGGAAGAAUAAGCCCCGGCUAACUUCGUGCCAGCAGCCGCGGUAAUACGAAGGGGGCUAGCGUUGCUCGGAAUCACUGGGCGUAAAGGGCGCGUAGGCGGACUUUUAAGUCGGAGGUGAAAGCCCAGGGCUCAACCCUGGAAUUGCCUUCGAUACUGGAAGUCUUGAGUUCGGAAGAGGUUGGUGGAACUGCGAGUGUAGAGGUGAAAUUCGUAGAUAUUCGCAAGAACACCAGUGGCGAAGGCGGCCAACUGGUCCGAUACUGACGCUGAGGCGCGAAAGCGUGGGGAGCAAACAGGAUUAGAUACCCUGGUAGUCC
RNAcentral lists this ribosomal RNA (425 nucleotides) under uncultured bacterium. Its description in RNAcentral is "partial 16S ribosomal RNA". It matches the Rfam family "Bacterial small subunit ribosomal RNA", at positions 354 to 796 of the family's 1533-position model. The record is from RNAcentral.